This 253-nucleotide ribosomal RNA is filed under the name uncultured bacterium. RNAcentral's name for it is "partial 16S ribosomal RNA". It matches the Rfam family "Bacterial small subunit ribosomal RNA", at positions 524 to 776 of the family's 1533-position model. The record is from RNAcentral.
UACGUAGGGAGCAAGCGUUGUCCGGAAUCAUUGGGCGUAAAGCGCGCGUAGGUGGCCACAUAAGUCCGUUGUGAAAGUCAAAGGCUCAACCUUUGAAAGCCGAUGGAUACUGUGUGGCUAGAGUACGGAAGAGGCGAGUGGAAUUCCUGGUGUAGCGGUGGAAUGCGCAGAUAUCAGGAGGAACACCAAUAGCGAAGGCAGCUCGCUGGGACGUUACUGACACUGAGAAGCGAAAGCAUGGGGAGCGAACAGG